RNAcentral lists this long non-coding RNA (292 nucleotides) under Elaeis guineensis (African oil palm). Its description in RNAcentral is "long non-coding RNA (EGUI_LNC003523)". The record is from RNAcentral. Lineage: Eukaryota; Viridiplantae; Streptophyta; Magnoliopsida; Arecales; Arecaceae.
GAAUCUUUACAUUGCCAUCUACCAACUACUCUCGCAUGCUCGGGUCAUUAGCUCCCCUGAUCAUUUUAAUUCCACGUGCCUCAUUUCUUCCAACCUUCCAACUUGCCUGGGAGAGUCAUCAGACCAAUAAGACAUCCAGCGAGGCCCACAAGAACAACGGACAACAUCGCUACUGCAGAAAUAGACCAGAAAAUUAAUUGCCAAGAUGUUCUGGUUCAGAGCUGUGACCCUGUCAUUGAUCUUUUUCUCUUUUGCCAACAAGAACCACCGACAGCUGGAAGCCUGGCUCAGA